CUUUAGUGGCGGACGGGUGAGUAACGCGUGGGUAACCUGCCUUACACAGGGGGAUAACACUUAGAAAUAGGUGCUAAUACCGCAUGAGCGCACAGGACCGCAUGGUCGAGUGUGAAAAACUCCGGUGGUGUAAGAUGGACCCGCGUCUGAUUAGCUUGUUGGCGGGGUAGGGGCCCACCAAGGCGACGAUCAGUAGCCGGCCUGAGAGGGUGGACGGCCACAUUGGGACUGAGACACGGCCCAAACUCCUACGGAAGGCAGCAG
RNAcentral lists this ribosomal RNA (264 nucleotides) under uncultured bacterium. Its description in RNAcentral is "partial 16S ribosomal RNA". It matches the Rfam family "Bacterial small subunit ribosomal RNA", at positions 90 to 354 of the family's 1533-position model. The record is from RNAcentral.